ACUCAAAUGAAUAGACGGGGGCCCGCACAAGCAGCGGAGCGUGUGGUUUAAUUCGACGCAACGCGAAGAACCUUACCCAGAUUGGACAUGCCGCUGCAGGCGUCGGAAACGGCGCGGCCUUCGAGGGUGCGGCACAGGUGCUGCAUGGCUGUCGUCAGUUCGUGUCGUGAGAUGUUGGGUUCAGUCCCGCAACGAGCGCAACCCCCACGGCUAGUUAUUUGUGUCUAGCCGAACCGCCCACUUGGGAGGAAGGUGGGGAUGAUGUCAAGUCCGCAUGGCCCUUACGUCUGGGGCAACACACACGCUACAAUGCCGCCGACAAUGCGCUGCCAGUGGGUAACCACGCGCGAAUCGGCAAACGGCGGCCAAGUGCAGAUUGGGGGCUGCAACUCGCCCCCAUGAAGGCGGAGUUGCUAGUAACCGCGCAUCAGCGAUGGUGCGGUGAAUACGUACCCGGGCCUUGUACACACCGCCCGU
RNAcentral lists this ribosomal RNA (477 nucleotides) under uncultured bacterium. RNAcentral's name for it is "partial 16S ribosomal RNA". It matches the Rfam family "Bacterial small subunit ribosomal RNA", at positions 899 to 1397 of the family's 1533-position model. The record is from RNAcentral.